UGAAAUGUGACACAACACGAAAUACGUCGCUCCCUUUAUAUAUAGAGAGAUAUAUAGAGUUGUAUGUAACUAUGUAUCGGUAUUUAAUAUAGUCAUAAUUUGUUAGUCAUACAACGCUCAAACUCAAAUGUACCAAAUUUGUUCUUUAGUGUACUAAAUGAAAAACUGAUAGGCCGGUAUAUUACUUUAUUGUUUUUACAAAGAACAAAAUCUCUCAUGCACCUUGGUCAAGUGCCACGACUACCCUGUACUGUAACCUCCCACCGCUCUCCUCCAAUCAAACAAAAACUAAUUUCUUGACCCUUUUCUGCUGAAUUCACCAGCAGGGUAUAGUAGUAAAAUCAGAUCAAAACGAAAGUUGAAGCUGAUAGGUGUAACCAUGCAUGCAAAGCUAACCUCUUUCUCCCUCUCCCCUUCUCCCACCUACACUAACAUACCUCAAUAAAUAAUAAAAACAACUUCUAUUUACUCUCUCUCUCUCUCUCUCUCUCUCUAUAUAUAUAUAUAUAUAUAUAUAUAUAUAUAUAUAUAUAUAUACAUACAAACAAACAUAUACAUAUACAUAUAUGUAUAUGCAUUCUAUUUUAACAUUUCACACUCCCUAUAUUACAUAUAUCAUUAUAUAUAUUAUUAAUUAAUAUUCUGUCGAUGCCCCUUAAGCAAAAUCUCAAAUUCGAGUAUUAUAAAUCGAGAGAACGAUGUUAAGAAAAUCUCCUCACUCGAAUCUUAAUUAGUCGGGCCCUAAUAAUUGUUGGACAUCAAGGAGGUGAGAACUAAAUCAAAAUAAUAAAAAAAAUGCAUUAUCUAAUUUCGGUCAUGUCUGCAUGGACAAAUAUAAAAUCCUGAUGUCCCAUCUGUAAGUCCCUAAACACGUAGCCACCAUACAAAAUCCAAGUGUCCUCUCCUCCUCUUUUCUCACAUCAUGUUGCCUUCUUCUCAUUGGCUCUAACUCACCCUUAAAAGUCCCACCCCCUCCUCCUCUUCCCUUCCAAUCCCCACCACCGCUCCUCAUUUCUCACCAACUCCUUUUCACU
This 1034-nucleotide long non-coding RNA is filed under the name Panax ginseng (ginseng). RNAcentral's name for it is "long non-coding RNA (PGIN_LNC018524)". Lineage: Eukaryota; Viridiplantae; Streptophyta; Magnoliopsida; Apiales; Araliaceae. The record is from RNAcentral.